UAACACGUGGGUAACCUGCCCAAGAGAUCGGGAUAACACCUGGAAACAGAUGCUAAUACCGGAUAACAACAGAUGAUGCCUAUCAACUGUUUAAAAGAUGGUUCUGCUAUCACUCUUGGAUGGACCUGCGGUGCAUUAGCUAGUUGGUAGGGUAACGGCCUACCAAGGCGAUGAUGCAUAGCCGACCUGAGAGGGUAAUCGGCCACAUUGGGACUGAGACACGGCCCAAACUCCUACGGGAGGCAGCAGUC
This 251-nucleotide ribosomal RNA is filed under the name uncultured Lactobacillus sp. Its description in RNAcentral is "partial 16S ribosomal RNA". It matches the Rfam family "Bacterial small subunit ribosomal RNA", at positions 111 to 355 of the family's 1533-position model. The record is from RNAcentral. Lineage: Bacteria; Bacillati; Bacillota; Bacilli; Lactobacillales; Lactobacillaceae.